This 407-nucleotide unclassified non-coding RNA is filed under the name soil metagenome. RNAcentral's name for it is "partial contains 5.8S ribosomal RNA, internal transcribed spacer 2, and large subunit ribosomal RNA". The stretch from base 1 to 120 matches the Rfam family "5.8S ribosomal RNA", at positions 35 to 154 of the family's 154-position model. The record is from RNAcentral.
GAUGAAGAACGUAGCGAAAUGCGAUAAGUAAUGUGAAUUGCAGAAUUCAGUGAAUCAUCGAAUCUUUGAACGCACCUUGCGCUCCUUGGCAUUCCGAGGAGCAUGCCUGUUUGAGUGUCAUUAAAUUCUCAAGACCUGUCUGCUUUUUUGAUAGGUAUUGGAUUUUGGGGGUUGCAGGCUGUUUCAAAUAAAUAGCCUUGCUCUCCUUGAAUGUAUUAGUGGAGAAAAGCCAUUGAACUCCAUUGGUGUGAUAAAACCUAUCAAUGCCAGGAGCAAUAUCACUACUUCUCUCUGCUGUCUAACUGUGACUGUCUGUAUUAAUUAGUAUGGAUGGGGACAACUUGACCAACUUGACCUCAAAUCAGGUAGGACUACCCGCUGAACUUAAGCAUAUCAAUAACGGAGGA